Molecule: ribosomal RNA, 253 nt
Filed under: uncultured bacterium
Lineage: Bacteria
Description: partial 16S ribosomal RNA
Rfam family: Bacterial small subunit ribosomal RNA
Source: RNAcentral
UACAGAGGGUGCGAGCGUUGUCCGGAAUCACUGGGCGUAAAGGGCGCGUAGGCGGCUCGUUAAGCGUGGGGUGAAAGCCCGGGGCUCAACCCCGGGUCUGCCUUGCGGACUGGCGAUCUUGAGCACAGUAGAGGCGGGUGGAAUUCCGGGUGUAGCGGUGGAAUGCGUAGAUAUUCGGAAGAACACCAGUGGCGAAGGCGGCCCGCUGGGCUGUUGCUGACGCUGAGGCGCGACAGAGUGGGGAGCAAACAGG